CGCUCCCAAACACCUGUGUAUACAAAAAGUGUAUAUCGAUGUAUAUAAGUCAUAUUUUGAUCCAUUUUCGUGUAUAUUGGACUGCAUACCGAGUGUAUACAGUCUAUUUUGACCCCUGCAACCUGCAUUUCAUUUUAUUGAACCUGUAUAUCGAUAUUUUUGCUAUGUAUACUUGUGUAUAUACUUGUAUACAUCAUGUAUACUGCCCUCUUUUGAGUUUGUUGAGAUCUGAAAAUUCAGUUUUCAGCCCCCCAUUUAUUGUAUUCAACCUGUUCAUCAGUUCCACAGCCUGCUACGGAGGCUAACUCGAAAGGAAAGAAGGAUUUGGGGCCUCUAUGGCCCAUCCGAAAUGCAAAUGGAGAGGAAAAAUGUCCACAAUGGACUCGGAAGGCAUCAUAUGCAAACAAAAACGAAGAUAUUAGAAUGGGAAAGAUUCCAAAACUUCAUCUUAAUAUUUAAAUCAAAGUAAUCACAACAAAUGGAACAAUCUACACAAUUGAUACUAAAUAAGCAAUAGAUCAUGGGAAAGCAGGACUUCUCCAAUUAGACAAAAGAACAAGGAAAAUGAACAUCUUUCGCAAUUAAAACAAGUGCUAUUUUUAGAUUUUCGGCAAAUGGACCAAAUCCCGUGCAUGAUGGGCAUUUAAUGGAUAGGGAAAUAGAUGUAGAGAUGAUCAAUUAACAACUAAAACAUGAAUGACUAGAUGGGGGUCAUAACUUAAUAUUUCUCCUAACCUAAUAAUAUAAAACACACCAACAAUGAUAAGUAAGAACAGGGUACUGCCAAACAUUUCUAGUUCAAAUUAAUGACAUGAAUAGCUUUAGAUUUUUUAUUUUUUCUUUAUAAAUGUACAGGCAGCAAAACAGAGACUAAAACGUAAAAAUUAUCCUCAGAUUGAACUACCAAUGAGACUCAAUUGAUCACGCAAAGAUUCAGACCUCAACAUGCUCCACCUUACCUGAUUCGCGGAUUGAUUUAAGGAAGCGAACAUCACCAACUUUCAGAUUUAAAUAAACUACAUUAGGUCGCAGGACAACGAAGACAUUCAAGAAGUAGAUAAAACUAACGAUUAAAGCAAACGUGCAACUAUACCAUAUAUGUUGGCCAAAUAAGUUGAUUCGAGAACUCAUGCUUACAUGAACUCCAACAUUAAACGGUAAUGAGUAUAAACGAAACAGAACAGCCCCCUCAUGAGAUUAAGCAAUAAAUGGAACUCAAAGAAUAGUUAAAAACAUCAACAUUAGAUACGCAUUUGUAAUCUCCAACUCAACCAAAUGACGAAAUCACAUAAGCACAAAUAUAUUAUAUCGAGAUAUCAAUAGACCAACAAUGACUAAAAGCAAAUAACCACAUAAUAAGGCCUUUUCGAUAUUGGAGCACAUCACAUCAAAAUAGAAGAAGAGACGAGGGGAAUAUUGUGAAGGAGGAAGCGUUACCUUUCUCCGGGCAGCGAACAGAGGCGAACAAGCAGGGAGUCAGCGACUUCAACACCAACGUAAACUUCGGGAGCUCCUAUGGGUCCUAGCAACACGAAUGAACAAGGAAAACAGAGAAAAUGGAUGAUGGGUGCGACUUAAGCUUUGGAGUUCUUUCCGCUGUCAAGUCUUACUAAUUUUUCUUUCAAAUUUCUUCUUCCCCACUCCCAAAAAAAAAAUCCCCUCACACUAGUAGAAGAACGAGGUAUUUAUAGUGGAAAAUUAGGGUUCAGAUUUUG
Molecule: long non-coding RNA, 1715 nt
Filed under: Solanum tuberosum (potato)
Lineage: Eukaryota; Viridiplantae; Streptophyta; Magnoliopsida; Solanales; Solanaceae
Description: long non-coding RNA (STUB_LNC000501)
Source: RNAcentral